Molecule: ribosomal RNA, 373 nt
Filed under: uncultured bacterium
Lineage: Bacteria
Description: bacterial SSU rRNA
Rfam family: Bacterial small subunit ribosomal RNA
Source: RNAcentral
AUACGGAGGAUUCGAGCGUUAUCCGGAUUUAUUGGGUUUAAAGGGUGCGUAGGCGGAUGAAUAAGUCAGAGGUGAAAUGCAUAUGCUCAACAUAUGAAUUGCCUUUGAAACUGUUCGACUAGGAUACAAAUGGAGCAGGCGGAAUGAACUGUGUAGAGGUGACAUUCAUAGAUAUAGUUCAGAACAUCGAUCGCGAAGGCAGCUUGCUAAGAUGUGAUUGACGCUGAGGCACGAAAGCGAGGGGAGCGAACAGGAUUAGAUACCCUGGUAGUCCUUGCAGUAAACGAUGAUAACUCGUUGUUGGCGAUAGACAGUCAGUAACUAAGCGAAAGCGAUAAGUUAUCCACCUGGGGAGUACGAUCGCAAGGUUGAA